RNAcentral lists this ribosomal RNA (496 nucleotides) under uncultured bacterium. RNAcentral describes it as "partial 16S ribosomal RNA". It matches the Rfam family "Bacterial small subunit ribosomal RNA", at positions 29 to 507 of the family's 1533-position model. The record is from RNAcentral.
AUGAACGCUGGCGGCGUGCCUAAUCCAUGCCAGUCGAGCGAACAGACGAGGAGCUUGCUCCUCUGACGUUAGCGGCGGACGGGUGAGUAACACGUGGAUAACCUACCUAUAAGACUGGGAUAACUUCGGGAAACCGGAGCUAAUACCGGAUAAUAUAUUGAACCGCAUGGUUCAAUAGUGAAAGACGGUUUUGCUGUCACUUAUAGAUGGAUCCGCGCCGCAUUAGCUAGUUGGUAAGGUAACGGCUUACCAAGCCAACGAUGCGUAGCCGACCUGAGAGGGUGAUCGGCCACACUGGAACUGAGACACGGUCCAGACUCCUACGGGAGGCAGCAGUAGGGAAUCUUCCGCAAUGGGCGAAAGCCUGACGGAGCAACGCCGCGUGAGUGAUGAAGGUCUUCGGAUCGUAAAACUCUGUUAUUAGGGAAGAACAAAUGUGUAAGUAACUAUGCACGUCUUGACGGUACCUAAUCAGAAAGCCACGGCUAACUACGUG